This 162-nucleotide ribosomal RNA is filed under the name Tropaeolum tricolor. RNAcentral describes it as "5.8S ribosomal RNA". It matches the Rfam family "5.8S ribosomal RNA". From Rfam's summary of the family: 5.8S ribosomal RNA (5.8S rRNA) is a component of the large subunit of the eukaryotic ribosome. It is transcribed by RNA polymerase I as part of the 45S precursor that also contains 18S and 28S rRNA. Functionally, it is thought that 5.8S rRNA may be involved in ribosome translocation. The record is from RNAcentral. Lineage: Eukaryota; Viridiplantae; Streptophyta; Magnoliopsida; Brassicales; Tropaeolaceae.
AACGACUCUCGGCAACGGAUAUCUCGGCUCUCGCAUCGAUGAAGAACGUAGCGAAAUGCGAUACUUGGUGUGAAUUGCAGAAUCCCGUGAACCAUCGAGUCUUUGAACGCAAGUUGCGCCCUAAGUCGUCAGGCUAAGGGCACGUCUGCCUGGGUGUCACGC